Molecule: ribosomal RNA, 119 nt
Filed under: Periophthalmus magnuspinnatus
Lineage: Eukaryota; Metazoa; Chordata; Actinopteri; Gobiiformes; Gobiidae
Source: RNAcentral
UCUAACUGCCAAACCUCCUUGUCAAAGCCUGAUCUCAUUAGAUCUCAGAAGCUAAUCAGCUGGACCUGGUUGGUACUUGGAUGGGAAACCGCUGGGAAUUCCAGUUGCCACCGUCACAA